UUUCAUAUCAAACAUCAAAACCCAUCAGUUAAAAACUCACAUGGUGAAAGCAUGUGGUUCUCUUGUUCUUUUAUGCAAUCAGAAUUUUUGCAAAUGAUUUGCGUCACAGGUGAACCUUUUAUUUCACCACAGUAUAAAACCGGGCUUUAGUAGCACUAAGGAUAAGCGAAGAACAUAGAACUCCGGUUUUGGUUCCUAUUUUAAAGCUGAACUUUCCAUAAAUCAAAAAUUCUCAAAAAUUCGUGGAUACCUAAAUUUGAAGGAAAAUGAAGCUUCUCCUACCCUCCUUGAUUUUCGUUUUCGCCAUGGUGCUGGGAGAUACACGUGGCCAAGGUGUAAUUGGUGGGGAUGGGGAGACAUUUCUAAAUGAUACAGAUUCAGAUUUGGUGGAUGAAGACGAGCUUCAGAUGCACCCCGCCGUGGUCAACGGUACGAAUAUGCGGCUUUAUGAGUGCGUCUAUUGUGGGGGAUAUACUAAAGCAAACUGCAGAUAUAGGUGUAGGUGCGCAAAAUAUCCAUGCUAUACAUGCGAAGAGUACGAUUGUAACUGCCACUCAGACUGUCAUUACAUUCGCUAAAUUUCAGCUUUGAUUAUGUAUGUAUGGUUAUCAUAAAAACCCGUAUUGGACGAAUUGGUAUAAUCUUAAUUAGGCCUAACAAAAUUUUGUAAUAUAAUUUGAGAAAUAAAAGAAAAUUUGUAAUCUAA
Long non-coding RNA from Folsomia candida, 706 nucleotides. RefSeq lists it as uncharacterized. The transcript is spliced from 2 exons. NCBI's taxonomy places the organism in Eukaryota, Metazoa, Arthropoda, Collembola, Entomobryomorpha, Isotomidae. The record is from RefSeq and is a predicted model, not a curated record.